CAGUCGCCGCGGGAAUACGAAGGGGGCUAGCGUUGUUCGGAAUUACUGGGCGUAAAGCGCGCGUAGGUGGUUCAUUAAGUUGGAUGUGAAAGCCCUGGGCUCAACCUGGGAACUGCAUCCAAAACUGGUGAGCUAGAGUACGGUAGAGGGUAGUGGAAUUUCCUGUGUAGCGGUGAAAUGCGUAGAUAUAGGAAGGAACACCAGUGGCGAAGGCGACUACCUGGACUGAUACUGACACUGAGGUGCGAAAGCGUGGGGAGCAAACAGGAUUAGAUACCCCCGUAGUCCCUGUCUCUUAUAA
Molecule: ribosomal RNA, 301 nt
Filed under: uncultured bacterium
Lineage: Bacteria
Description: partial 16S ribosomal RNA
Rfam family: Bacterial small subunit ribosomal RNA
Source: RNAcentral